UCCCAGUGGCUCAGCUGGUAAAGAAUCUGCCUGCAAUGCAGGAGACCUAGGUUAAACUCCUGGGUUGGGAA
RNAcentral lists this transfer RNA (71 nucleotides) under Ovis aries (sheep). It matches the Rfam family "tRNA". From Rfam's summary of the family: Transfer RNA (tRNA) molecules are approximately 80 nucleotides in length. Their secondary structure includes four short double-helical elements and three loops (D, anti-codon, and T loops). Lineage: Eukaryota; Metazoa; Chordata; Mammalia; Artiodactyla; Bovidae. The record is from Rfam by way of RNAcentral.